AGGGGGGUUCUUUCAAUUUUCGAGAUGGUAAAAUCCCCCGGCCCUCCACCCUGGGGGGGCCUUUUUCAAAACUUGGCAAGUCUAGGAGUCUUGGAAGGAGGAGGGGGAGAAUUUCCCGGGUGUGCGGUAAAAUGGGUAAAAGAUUCGGGAGAAAUACCGGGUGGCAGAGGGGCGGUCUCCCGGGACAAAACACUGACGUUAAGGGGGGGAAAGCGUGGGGGCGCAAACAGGAUAAAAAACCCUGGGUUGGCCCACCCCCGUAAAACAAAAGUCGACCAGGGAGGUUGGGGUCCUCGAGCGCGUUGGUUCUGGAGCUAACGCGUUAAGUCGCCCGCCUGGGGAGUACGGCCCGCAAGGUUAAAACUCAAAAGAAUUGACGGGGGCCCGCACAAGCGGUGGAGCAUGUGGUUUAAUUCGAUGCAACGCGAAGAACCUUACCUACUCUUGACAUCCAGAGAACUUUCCAGAGAUGGAUUGGUCCUUCGGGAACUCUGAGACAGGUGCUGCAUGGCUGUCGUCAGCUCGUGUUGUGAAAUGUUGGGUUAAGUCCCGCAACGAGCGCAACCCUUAUUCUUUGUUGCCAGCGGUUCGGCCGGGAACUCAAAGGAGACUGCCAGUGAUAAACUGGAGGAAGGUGGGGAUGACGUCAAGUCAUCAUGGCCCUUACGAGUAGGGCUACACACGUGCUACAAUGGCGCAUACAAAGAGAAGCGACCUCGCGAGAGCAAGCGGACCUCAUAAAGUGCGUCGUAGUCCGGAUUGGAGUCUGCAACUCGACUCCAUGAAGUCGGAAUCGCUUGUAAUCGUAGAUCAGAAUGCUACGGUGAAUACGUUCCCGGGCCUUGUACACACCGCCCGUCGCCCCAAGGAGUGGGUUGCAAAA
This 883-nucleotide ribosomal RNA is filed under the name Enterobacter sp. Its description in RNAcentral is "bacterial SSU rRNA". It matches the Rfam family "Bacterial small subunit ribosomal RNA", at positions 573 to 1422 of the family's 1533-position model. The record is from RNAcentral. Lineage: Bacteria; Pseudomonadati; Pseudomonadota; Gammaproteobacteria; Enterobacterales; Enterobacteriaceae.